UUUUAGCGUCGCGACAGAACGAAUCCCUCGCUAGCCCUACCUCCUCUCCCGUCUCCAGUCGCAGCCGCCGCCGCCACCGCACCCCAAUCCAACCCCGCCGCCGGCGAUCUCCUCGCCCCCCUGUGCCGUCGCCCCCAACCUUCUAUUCCUCUCCCAAGGGAAGGGAAGGGAAGGCAAGACAAGGGAAGGGAGAGGGAGCGCCCAGAUCCACGGCGGCAUCAGCGCGCCGUCCUCCACCUGAUCCGCGUCCAUCCACGGAUGGGAGCUAAUCGGCGCAGGAAAUCCCCGUCCCCGCGUCCGAGCCCCGCCACCCUCCGCAACGGCUCGACCGCCCAUCGACGCGCUGCCCCCGCGGCGCCCGACCAGUUUGGCUCUCGCGGCUGGUGGACGCGCCCUUGCUGUUGCCGACGCCGGCUCGCUGUGCCGCACUGGCCCUCACAAGCGUCUUCUGUCAAUGAUGGACUUGAGAGGUCAAGGAGUUUCCAUUGGGACAUCGGGACAUGCUCCUCCAUCUCCUCCGGUGGACGACAUCCAACAUCGCCAGGUAGAUUACUGUUUUUGCAAAUUCCAGUUCUUGAUGUUUAAAACUGGAUGAUCUGCACCCAACCCCUCUAUUGUUCUAUUUCUGCUUAAAUCUGAUUUGGUUGUUCAGUUCAUGCACUUAUGGACUGAAGAAAAAAAUGGAAAUGAAGAAGAAAAGAAUAGCAAUAUUAUCAUAUGCGAGGUUUGCUUUUAACCUUGGUUCCUAACCAAUAUUUGCUUCAUAAUUCUGCCGAGAGAUUCACACUGUCAUUCAUAUUAUGAAUAUAGUUCAUAACCAGUAUUCUCUUUUAUCUAAUUAUAUGUACAGAAAGGAGUAAUCUGAAGUGAAUUCAUGCUAUGUUAACAGUCUAACAAACAUCUUGGAGGUGUGAAUGCUUUCUUGGGUCUGACAAGUAAUCAAUAAUUGAUGGUAUACUGGGAUUUUUCUCAUACUUCUAGCACUUCCUCAUUGACAAUAAAGCAAGUAGUAUCACAACAAAGGCUAUCCAGGUAUUUUUUUUCAACUAUAAUCCUUCCAGCUUUAGGGACUGCUCAAUUGGAUCUGCACAAUCCAACAAAAUAAAUGUGCAUAGUGUCUGCGACACUUUCAUUCGAUCAUCACGAAGGUAGUUGUAGGAGUAAAAAAGUAUGUCAUACUGUUUUUUCAGUUCAAGCCAAAAGGCUAGGACAGGUAAUACUUGUUUUUACAGUACUUGUGCAAAAAGUAUGUCAUACUGUUUGCUCUAGAUGAUUUUGAUGAAUUUUACAACCUUAUUUUCAGUUGUUUACCCCAAGAAAUGGUCUGCUUUCAUGGGGUUUAUUGAAUCCAGGAAAGAACUGUGAGUAGUAGCGAACCAGACAUGAAAAGUUUCAGACAACUACGAAAACUCCGGGUUUGGGGGAGAUUGUCAGCGAGCCACUGAUGAAAGUCCUUUUGCGAUGACAAUGCUAGAGAAGAUUUGAAAGAUCUUGGUUGGCGUGGGGCAACUUGUGUAUUCCUGGAUGGGGGCGCCGUCCGGUGGCAGUGGGGUGUGGCAGUUGCCGCAGCUGGGCACAACCGGGAGUCCACCUAUCCAGAACACCCAACUAUUUCAUCCGGUGAACUGCGAAGAGCUUCUGUGUGCGUCUCCGUUAUAUUUAACUACGACAGGCUUAUGUUAUCUUAUCACGAACUCAUUUUUCAGUUUGUGCCCAACGUGACUGCAUGUAAAUAUGUAAUACAGCAAUUUUGUUCUUCCUUUUUGUUGUUUGAUUGACUCAGUAUACCAUCUCAAAUGUCAUUCCCUUUAUAGCUAGCACAUCAUCUCCAAAGAAUUUAUUUAAGUUGAAAUCCAGUAAUUAUAUGUUGAUCGCAUAAGCAGGCUGAUGGUGUCUUGGUCGAAUUUUUUUAUUCCUUCUCUAUGGAACUAAAACUGUUCUUUCCUGAAUAUAUUGGAUCGCAAAGAACUAAACCUAUGUACAAUGUCUUUGGGCAUAUUCUGAAUUUGCAGAAUUAGCACAAAUCUGAAAGCAUAUAUGCAGCUCCCAGAUGUUGCAGGCUAGAGGAAGGGCAGGCACUCAUGCGAUACCAUGUAUCUGGUAGUGGUUUCGUUCCCCAGACGCUAUGCAUUUAUUGUCUGGUUUGUUCAUAUCUGUUAGCUCUAUGUUAACCUUCUUUUAGUUACUUCCCAUGAUUUUCUUUGUAAGAAACCCCAGAAAUAUAUAUAGGUGUAUUUUCCUGUAAAGAUGCUAAAUUUUGUUGGUCUUAUUUAUGGGAUAGCGAAACCAUUUUUGUGUGCACUUAAUUGUCAGGUUGGAUGCGCCGGGUGUGGGGACACUGCAUGACAUGUUUGAUUAUCAUGUCAGUGAAUUCUGGCGAGAAUGAACCAAGUGAGCUUUUGUAGCUGGUCUAUUCAAAAUGGAUGAACGGACCAGUUAGUGUACAUAUAAGUUUGCACUCUGUCUUCCUGCUCAUUCGUGCAAUGUGUUCAUGGGAGACUUUUUUAGGAAAACAUAAAAUAAUUUUUCUUUCUGUGCGUACUACUCCAGCUUUCAAGUGCCAGGCUUCAAUAAAUCUGAAAUUUCUA
Triticum aestivum (bread wheat) is the source of this 2588-nucleotide long non-coding RNA. RefSeq lists it as uncharacterized. The transcript is spliced from 3 exons. NCBI's taxonomy places the organism in Eukaryota, Viridiplantae, Streptophyta, Magnoliopsida, Poales, Poaceae. The record is from RefSeq and is a predicted model, not a curated record.